GGAACACGCAGCAGCAGCAGCAGCAGUCGGCCUUCGAACCGGGCUCUCAAACCGAUUCAUUUGCCUCACAAACUCGCGCCGGAGUAGCUGCUGCUGCAUUGCCACCAAGGUUUUUUGUUGGUCAUUCGAUAUACAAAGGAAAGGCUGCUCUUACAGUUGAGCCUAGGCCACCAGAGUUUACACCUCUAGAUUCAGGGGCUUUCAAAAUAUCCAGGGAAGGAUUUGUGUUGCUUCAAUUUGCUCCUGCAGCUGGUGUUCGUCAAUAUGAUUGG
Molecule: unclassified non-coding RNA, 272 nt
Filed under: Hevea brasiliensis (rubber tree)
Lineage: Eukaryota; Viridiplantae; Streptophyta; Magnoliopsida; Malpighiales; Euphorbiaceae
Source: RNAcentral